CACCGCGGUUAUACGAGAGGCUCAAGUUGAUAAACACCGGCGUAAAAUGUGGUUGACAUACCAUUGCACUAAAGCUAAACAUCUUCAAAGCUGUUAUACCCACACGAAGACAGGAAAACCUUCUACGAAAGUGGCUUUAAAUGAAUGCUAACCCACGAAAACUAGGAAA
RNAcentral lists this ribosomal RNA (169 nucleotides) under Luciogobius sp. ZUNGURI-NAGA-MIMIZU-HAZE. RNAcentral describes it as "partial 12S rRNA". Lineage: Eukaryota; Metazoa; Chordata; Actinopteri; Gobiiformes; Gobiidae. The record is from RNAcentral.